Long non-coding RNA from Oncorhynchus kisutch (coho salmon), 2223 nucleotides. RefSeq lists it as uncharacterized. NCBI's taxonomy places the organism in Eukaryota, Metazoa, Chordata, Actinopteri, Salmoniformes, Salmonidae. The record is from RefSeq and is a predicted model, not a curated record. The transcript is spliced from 3 exons.
AUCUCUCACUUAGCUGAUUGGUCAUAGCUAAAUUAGUUAUUUGUCAAAAAUGUGAGGAGGGAUGUAGCCACAGCUGUGAUGUACUAGCUAUAUAUCUGCCCCGUGGUGAUGUGAUGGUGGUGUGGAUCAAAAGCAGCCCCCAAAACUGUCCAGGUGAGUGGCAGACUUGCACUCUCUACACAGAAUCACUCGCGACCAAUCUCAACAAGCGCGCGAGGCCGGAGAUACGCAUGCGUCAACAUGAGGAGGAGGAGGAGGGACUACUUUAACGCUUCGAACACACCGAAUGCGAAAUAACAUUUUGCGCGGUAUGCAAGUAUACUGAUGCAGGUAUCUUUUGCAGACGGUCGCAUGCGGUUGGACACACGGAGGAGAGAAUCCUGUUCAGUAUCCUCAAAGCCGUGUCUUUUUGACACAACUGCUGACAGCUACAGGGACAUAACCACAAAAAAUGCUGCUUGGAGACAAGUGUCCACGAUAGUACCAUUGCCUGGUCAGUUUAGUAGUGAGCUUGUGCUAUAUGUGGCUAGUUAGCUAGCUACCCUAGCCAAUUGUGUGUGUGUGUGUGUGUGUGUGUGUGUGUGUGUGUGUGUGUGUGUGUGUGUGACAAAGAAAUAGUAAUAAAUUAUGCUGGUUACUACCCCUGAUAACUUGCCCAAAUAAUCAUGCUUGAAAGAGUGUGAGUGUGUAUGUCAGAUAAAUAGAAAUGAUAGAUACUACUGUACCCCUAAUAAUUUGGUCAGAUAACGGUGUGUGUAUAGUAGGUGACAUGUCAAUGAUAGUUAUAUAAUAACUAUAGUUAUGCUAGGUGAUGGUUUGGCUUAUCAUGUUCAUGUCUAUGUAGAAGAAGACUGUAGGAGGAAGUGGAGAGGACUCAGGGACAGGUAUCAGAGAGAGAAGGGCAGAGAAAGAGAAGAGGUCUGGGUCAGCAGUUUCAGGCCAGCAGCCUUGGCGCUUCUUCCACAUUCUUUCUUUUCUGGAUCCAUUUAUUGUGCCUAGGGCUACAAGUGGCAAUUUUACAGCCAGACCCUUUACGUCAUCCACAAGUGUGGGCGCCACGGGUGCAUCAAGACUCUACGUCAUUAACAAGUGAGACCAGUCUCCACCGGUGCAGUGAGACCCUCCACAUCAUCCACAAAUAUGACCACCACCGGUGCAGCCAUGGAAGAUGAUGAAAUGGAGGAAGCACCUCUGGAUCUAGGACCACCUGAGAUUAUUAAGAAACUCACAGGAAGUGACCACUGAGGACCUUGUUGAACAGGAUGUGGCCGUGGAGAGAAACCAAGAGGACCAACGUCACACCAGGCGCCAUCGGCGGUACCAGCCCCCAGAUCCACUCAACUCAUUUCAGCAGAGGCUCCUCCAAGCCAUCGAGAGGGAUGCAGCCCAACCUGAUGCUAACAGGAAGGAGGAUGAAGAAACCUUCUUUGCCAUGAGCCUGGUUUUAACCCUGAAGAGGCUGCCUCAGCGAAGAAAAGCAGCAUUCAAGGUUAAAAUUCAUCAGCUGCUUUUCUAUGCCGAGUUCAAUGAGAUGGAGUCAAUUUAGCAGACCAGCUCAUAGGAAGGACAAGAAGAGGAGAUUGUCUGGUUGUUGUUUUGACCUUCUCCUCCAUGGGUUUUGAGCGGGAGGUAAGGAAAGGACGUGAGGAAUCAAGGAACUGCAACUGAGAUUUUCCCACUGUCAACUGAGAUUUUGUAACUGUUCUUAUUGCGCUUACUAUGUCCUUGUUAGUAGUUUCUCAAUACUUAGGAUAGCAUUCAUUAUUAGUUGUACAUAGAUUGCAUGAAAAUUGACUGAAUUGAAACUGACACACCAGAGAAUUCAGAUGCUCUUGUUGUUCUUUUACAAGACUAAAGGUGAAAUAUGUGUUUACCUGUAUUGUGGCUCCAAAUUCACUUUUAGUAUUCAGACACACACCUCCUCCACUCCUCUAUGUACCUCAGAUCUCCAGUGCCCUGCCCUCUCUCUUUAUGGCCAUGUCUGAAGUUCCCCUACUAUGUCUAGGCUUUAUGAGUAGUCCCUGUAUCUGUCUGCAGUUAUGCCAAAAAUACAUGCUCUUGUUGUUCUCUUACAGAUUACACAUUCAUUUUUAUAUUUUUACAGGCACAUACAGUACACACACACCUCACAAUAGUUGUAAUUUUUUGUAAUGUUUUUACAACAUAUACCUGUCAUGUUCUUUCCUGUACUUGAAUACUUAUUAAAUUAUGUUUUCAUUGUCA